This 74-nucleotide transfer RNA is filed under the name Gloeotilopsis planctonica. Its description in RNAcentral is "tRNA-Trp". It matches the Rfam family "tRNA". From Rfam's summary of the family: Transfer RNA (tRNA) molecules are approximately 80 nucleotides in length. Their secondary structure includes four short double-helical elements and three loops (D, anti-codon, and T loops). The record is from RNAcentral. Lineage: Eukaryota; Viridiplantae; Chlorophyta; Ulvophyceae; Ulotrichales; Ulotrichaceae.
AAGAGCGUAGCUCAAUUGGUUAGAGCGUCUUAUUCCAAAUAAGAAGGUUGCUGAAUCAUUCUCGGCCGCUCUUG